CGGGACAUAAAUGCAGAAGUGCUAAUAAACAGGAGCCAGUCCUUCACCCGUAAUCUGCACUGGCCCUUCACCCGUAAUCUGCACCAACCCUUCACCUGUAAUCUGCAACGGCCCUUCACCCGUAAUCUGCACUGGCCCUUCACCCGUAAUCUGCACCAACUCUUCACCUAUAAUCUGCAACGGCCCUUCACCAGUAAUCUGCACUGGCCCUUCACCCGUAAUCUGCACCAACCCUUCACCUGUAAUCUGCAACGGCCCUUCACCCAUAAUCUGCACCAACCCUUCACCCAUAAUCUGCACCGGUCCUUUAUCCGUAAUCUGCACCAGCGCUUCACUCAUAAUGUGCACAAACCCUUCACCCGUAAUCUGCACCAGCCCUUCACCCGUAAUAUGCACUGGCCCUUUACCCGCAAUCUGCACCAGCGCUUCACCCGUAAUCUGCACCGGCCCUUCACCCGUAAUCUGCACCAGCCCUUCACCCGUAAUCUGCACCGGCGCUUCACCAGUAAUCUGCACCAACCCUUCACACGUAAUCUGCACCAGCCCUUCAGCCGUAAUCUGCACCAGUCCUUCACGCAUAAUCUGCAGCAGCGCUUCACCCGUAAUCUGCAUCGGCCCUUCAACCGUAAUCUGUACCAGCGCUUCACCCGUAAUCUGCACCAGCGCUUCACCCGUAAUCUGCAUCGGCCCUUCAACCGUAAUCUGCACCAGCGCUUCACCAGUAAUCUACACCAGCCCUUCACCCGUAAUAUGCACCAAACCUUCACCCGUAAUCUGCACCAGUCCUUCACCCGUAAUCUGCACCGGCGCUUCACCCAUAAUGUGCACCAACCCUUCACCCAUAAUCUGCACCAGCCCUUCACCCGUAAUCUGCACUGGCCCUUUACCUGUAAUCUACAUCAGCACUUCACCCGUAAUCUGCACCAACCCUUCACCUGUAAUCUGCACCAGACCUUCACCCGUAAUCUACACCAGCCCUUCACCCGUAAUCUGCAUCAACGCUUCACCCGUAAUGGCGCGUGUACGCUCCCUAACUCUUCCUGC
RNAcentral lists this long non-coding RNA (1044 nucleotides) under Cottoperca gobio. Its description in RNAcentral is "lncRNA (ENSCGOG00000005021.1)". Lineage: Eukaryota; Metazoa; Chordata; Actinopteri; Perciformes; Bovichtidae. The record is from RNAcentral.